CAGCACCCAUCACAGCCUUCCCCUGAUCUGCCCCUUUAAGAAAAAUCAGCCCUCUCCGCUCCUCACCCUCCGCACACUGACCUUACACACUGGACAAUAUUUAAGGAUCAAGGUGCCAUCCUAGGAAGAGAAGAAAUCACUGGCUCCUCUGGCCAUGAAAAAACACCGUGUAAAUUGCCAUUUCAGAUUUUUCAAAAAACACGUUUAGCUCUAAGAAUUCUUCCGAAUUCGUUACACUCCACCGCGCGAGGCUGCGCCUUGAUGGCCCCGGCGAAGUGACUCAUGUUCCAUUGGGUUUAUUCCUGUGAAGACUUGUGCUAAAACAGAGGAAAGUGCAGAGCCUUUGGGGAGGGAAUGGCACAGUUUGGAAAGCAUCAGACACGCUCACUGUUCCCUGUCAGAAAACGAGAGCUCUGAUUUACAUCCCCUGCGAGAA
Molecule: long non-coding RNA, 436 nt
Organism: Empidonax traillii (willow flycatcher)
Lineage: Eukaryota; Metazoa; Chordata; Aves; Passeriformes; Tyrannidae
Exons: 3
Source: RefSeq, a predicted model, not a curated record